AUUGAACGCUGGCGGCAGGCCUAACACAUGCAAGUCGAGCGGAUGAAGGGAGCUUGCUCCUGGAUUCAGCGGCGGACGGGUGAGUAAUGCCUAGGAAUCUGCCUGGUAGUGGGGGAUAACGUCCGGAAACGGGCGCUAAUACCGCAUACGUCCUGAGGGAGAAAGUGGGGGAUCUUCGGACCUCACGCUAUCAGAUGAGCCUAGGUCGGAUUAGCUAGUUGGUGGGGUAAAGGCCUACCAAGGCGACGAUUCGUAACUGGCCUGAGAGGAUGAUCAGUCACACUGGAACUGAGACACGGUCCAGACUCCUACGGGAGGCAGCAGUGGGGAAUAUUGGACAAUGGGCGAAAGCCUGAUCCAGCCAUGCCGCGUGUGUGAAGAAGGUCUUCGGAUUGUAAAGCACUUUAAGUUGGGAGGAAGGGCAGUAAGUUAAUACCUUGCUGUUUUGACGUUACCAACAGAAUAAGCACCGGCUAACUUCGUG
Molecule: ribosomal RNA, 484 nt
Filed under: uncultured bacterium
Lineage: Bacteria
Description: partial 16S ribosomal RNA
Rfam family: Bacterial small subunit ribosomal RNA
Source: RNAcentral